AUAUUGCUGAAGAGUCUCAAACUAGGACGAAACAGCUGUCAAGUAC
RNAcentral lists this non-coding RNA (46 nucleotides) under Trichobilharzia regenti. The record is from RNAcentral. Lineage: Eukaryota; Metazoa; Platyhelminthes; Trematoda; Strigeidida; Schistosomatidae.